CAACUUUCAACAACGGAUCUCUUGGUUCUGGCAUCGAUGAAGAACGCAGCGAAAUGCGAUAAGUAGUGUGAAUUGCAGAAUUCAGUGAAUCAUCGAAUCUUUGAACGCACAUUGCGCCCCUUGGUAUUCCAUGGGGCAUG
This 140-nucleotide ribosomal RNA is filed under the name uncultured Phoma. RNAcentral's name for it is "5.8S ribosomal RNA". It matches the Rfam family "5.8S ribosomal RNA". From Rfam's summary of the family: 5.8S ribosomal RNA (5.8S rRNA) is a component of the large subunit of the eukaryotic ribosome. It is transcribed by RNA polymerase I as part of the 45S precursor that also contains 18S and 28S rRNA. The record is from RNAcentral. Lineage: Eukaryota; Fungi; Ascomycota.